This 468-nucleotide ribosomal RNA is filed under the name uncultured bacterium. RNAcentral's name for it is "partial 16S ribosomal RNA". It matches the Rfam family "Bacterial small subunit ribosomal RNA", at positions 28 to 507 of the family's 1533-position model. The record is from RNAcentral.
GACGAACGCUGGCGGCGCGCCUAACACAUGCAAGUCGAACGGAGUCAAGAGGAGCUUGCUUUUCUUGACUUAGUGGCGAACGGGUGAGUAACGCGUGAGUAACCUGCCCUGGAGUGGGGGACAACAGUUGGAAACGACUGCUAAUACCGCAUAAGCCCACGGAUCUGCAUGGAUCUGCGGGAAAAGGAUUUAUUCGCUCUAGGAUGGACUCGCGUCCAAUUAGCUAGUUGGUGAGGUAACGGCCCACCAAGGCGACGAUUGGUAGCCGGACUGAGAGGUUGAACGGCCACAUUGGGACUGAGACACGGCCCAGACUCCUACGGGAGGCAGCAGUGGGGGAUAUUGCAAAAUGGGGGAAACCCUGAUGCAGCGACGCCGCGUGGAGGAAGAAGGUUUUCGGAUAGUAAACUCCUGUCGUUAGGGACGAUAAUGACGGUACCUAACAAGAAAGCACCAGCUAACUACGUG